This 22-nucleotide small nuclear RNA is filed under the name Arabidopsis thaliana (thale cress). RNAcentral's name for it is "snRNA_10685". The record is from RNAcentral. Lineage: Eukaryota; Viridiplantae; Streptophyta; Magnoliopsida; Brassicales; Brassicaceae.
CGCCCGGUCGUACUCAUAACCG